GCUUAGAGUUGGCCACAUGAAUGACUCAGCGCAGUAUGAAGUCUUUGUUUUCUUCCGAAAACAAGCUCAAUGAGAGCCAUCGGGGGUAGAUCUAUCUCAUGACGAGUGGUGGAAUACUUUGACUCAUGAGAGAGAAGCUGAGGCGAAGGCGUCUACCUAGAGGGUUUCUGUCGAUCAAGGGCGAGAGUAGGAGUAUCCAACAGGAUUAGAGACCCUGGUAGUUCCUACCUUAAACGAUGCCGACAGGAGUUUGUCAUUUGUUAAUGGCAGAAUCUUUGGAGAAAUCAUAGUUCUUGGGCUCUGGGGGAACUACGACCGCAAGGCUGAAACUUGAAGGAAUUGACGGAAGGGCACACCAGGGGUGGAGCCUGUGGCUUAAUUUGAAUCAACACGGGGAAACUUACCAGGACCAGAUGUUUUUUAUGACUGACAGGCUUCGGGUCUUUCAGGAUAUUGUUUUUGGUGGUGCAUGGCCGUUGGUGGUGCGUGGGUUGACCUGUCUAGCGUUGAUUCAGCUAACGAGCGAGAUUAUCGCCAAUUAUUUACUUUGCCGAAGUCCUUCGGUUAAAGUUCUAAUUGGGACUCCCUGCGAUUUUAGCAGGUGGAAGAGGGUAGCAAUAACAGGUCCGUGAUGCCCUUUAGAUGCUCUGGGCUGCACGCGUGCUACAAUGUUAGGAUCAAUAGGACUGCGAGCCUGAGAGGGUGCGCUACUCUUAUAAUCCCUAACGUAGUUGGGAUUGACGUUUGUAAUCAGCGUCAUGAACCAGGAAUCCCUUGUAAAUGUGUGUCAACAACGCACGUUGAAUACGUCCCUGCCCUUUGUACACACCGCCCGUCGCUCCUACCGAUUGGAUGACUCGGUGAAAUCACCGGAUGCUUACGAGCAGAAAGUGAUUAAAUCACGUUAUCUAGAGGAAGGAGAAGUCGUUACAAGGUAACGGUAGGUGAACCUG
Molecule: non-coding RNA, 953 nt
Filed under: Trichomonas vaginalis G3
Lineage: Eukaryota; Parabasalia; Trichomonadida; Trichomonadidae
Description: Eukaryotic small subunit ribosomal RNA
Rfam family: Eukaryotic small subunit ribosomal RNA
Source: Rfam by way of RNAcentral